Molecule: long non-coding RNA, 246 nt
Organism: Mya arenaria
Lineage: Eukaryota; Metazoa; Mollusca; Bivalvia; Myida; Myidae
Exons: 6
Source: RefSeq, a predicted model, not a curated record
GACACCAAUUUUUACGAUUGAUUUGCUCUGCUCGCCAACAAGUUGCUUUAGGACAGGUCAACAUUUGUGACUAAAAUGGCAAGCGGUGGAGACGUUCCUUUGAGCCAGAAAUUGAAACGAUUGCAGGAUGAAAACUCAAAGAUGGAAGAACGUCAUCAAAGGCAGGAAGAAAUUAUUAAAGAUAUGAAGGAUGAAAAAUUGAGGCAGGAAGAAACUAUUAAAGAUAUGAAGGAUGAAAAAUUGAGG